UACAGAGGUGCCAAGCGUUAGGCGGAAUCACUGGGCUUAAAGCGCGCGUAGGCGGAUGUUUAAGUGUCUUGUGAAAGCCCACGGCUCAACCGUGGAGGGUCAUUGGAAACUGGGAGACUUGAGUGCAGAAGAGAAGAGUGGAAUUCCACGUGUAGCGGUGAAAUGCGUAGAGAUGUGGAGGAACACCAGUGGCGAAGGCGACUCUUUGGUCUGUAACUGACGCUGAGGCGCGAAAGCGUGGGGAGCAAACAGG
RNAcentral lists this ribosomal RNA (253 nucleotides) under uncultured bacterium. RNAcentral's name for it is "partial 16S ribosomal RNA". It matches the Rfam family "Bacterial small subunit ribosomal RNA", at positions 524 to 776 of the family's 1533-position model. The record is from RNAcentral.